GUUGAACGCUGGCGGCAGGCUUAACACAUGCAAGUCGAGCGGGGGAAGGUAGCUUGCUACUGGACCUAGCGGCGGACGGGUGAGUAAUGCUUAGGAAUCUGCCUAUUAGUGGGGGACAACAUCUCGAAAGGGAUGCUAAUACCGCAUACGUCCUACGGGAGAAAGCAGGGGAUCUUCGGACCUUGCGCUAAUAGAUGAGCCUAAGUCGGAUUAGCUAGUUGGUGGGGUAAAGGCCUACCAAGGCGACGAUCUGUAGCGGGUCUGAGAGGAUGAUCCGCCACACUGGGACUGGGACACGGCCCAGACUCCUACGGGAGGCAGCAGUGGGGAAUAUUGGACAAUGGGGGGAACCCUGAUCCAGCCAUGCCGCGUGUGUGAAGAAGGCCUUAUGGUUGUAAAGCACUUUAAGCGAGGAGGAGGCUACUCUAGUUAAUACCUAGGGAUAGUGGACGUUACUCGCAGAAUAAGCACCGGCUAACUCUGUGCCAGCCGCCGCUGUAA
This 501-nucleotide ribosomal RNA is filed under the name uncultured bacterium. RNAcentral describes it as "partial 16S ribosomal RNA". It matches the Rfam family "Bacterial small subunit ribosomal RNA", at positions 28 to 523 of the family's 1533-position model. The record is from RNAcentral.